CCUACGGGGGGCUGCAGUGAGGAAUAUUGGUCAAUGGACGAGAGUCUGAACCAGCCAAGUAGCGUGAAGGAUGACUGCCCUAUGGGUUGUAAACUUCUUUUAUAUGGGAAUAAAUUGUUCCACGUGUGGGAUUUUGUAUGUACCAUAUGAAUAAGGAUCGGCUAACUCCGUGCCAGCAGCCGCGGUAAUACGGAGGAUCCGAGCGUUAUCCGGAUUUAUUGGGUUUAAAGGGAGCGUAGGUGGAUUGUUAAGUCAGUUGUGAAAGUUUGCGGCUCAACCGUAAAAUUGCAGUUGAAACUGGCAGUCUUGAGUACAGUAGAGGUGGGCGGAAUUCGUGGUGUAGCGGUGAAAUGCUUAGAUAUCACGAAGAACUCCGAUUGCGAAGGCAGUUCACUGGACUGCAACUGACACUGAGGCUCGAAAGUGUGGGUAUCAAACAGGAUUAGAUACCCUAGUAGUC
RNAcentral lists this ribosomal RNA (460 nucleotides) under uncultured bacterium. RNAcentral's name for it is "partial 16S ribosomal RNA". It matches the Rfam family "Bacterial small subunit ribosomal RNA", at positions 338 to 795 of the family's 1533-position model. The record is from RNAcentral.